AUUGAACGCUGGCGGCAGGCCUAACACAUGCAAGUCGAACGGUAACAGGAAACAGCUUGCUGUUUCGCUGACGAGUGGCGGACGGGUGAGUAAUGUCUGGGAAACUGCCUGAUGGAGGGGGAUAACUACUGGAAACGGUAGCUAAUACCGCAUAACGUCGCAAGACCAAAGAGGGGGACCUUCGGGCCUCUUGCCAUCGGAUGUGCCCAGAUGGGAUUAGCUAGUAGGUGGGGUAACGGCUCACCUAGGCGACGAUCCCUAGCUGGUCUGAGAGGAUGACCAGCCACACUGGAACUGAGACACGGUCCAGACUCCUACGGGAGGCAGCAGUGGGGAAUAUUGCACAAUGGGCGCAAGCCUGAUGCAGCCAUGCCGCGUGUAUGAAGAAGGCCUUCGGGUUGUAAAGUACUUUCAGCGGGGAGGAAGGGAGUAAAGUUAAUACCUUUGCUCAUUGACGUUACCCGCAGAAGAAGCACCGGCCAACUCCGUG
RNAcentral lists this ribosomal RNA (490 nucleotides) under uncultured bacterium. Its description in RNAcentral is "partial 16S ribosomal RNA". It matches the Rfam family "Bacterial small subunit ribosomal RNA", at positions 30 to 507 of the family's 1533-position model. The record is from RNAcentral.